Molecule: ribosomal RNA, 602 nt
Filed under: uncultured marine eukaryote
Lineage: Eukaryota
Description: SSU rRNA
Rfam family: Eukaryotic small subunit ribosomal RNA
Source: RNAcentral
AAACGCUCGCAGUUGGAUAUCUGUUGAGAACUGCCGGUCUACCCCAGUGGUGAGCACACGGUCUGUUCUCGGCACUUUCCUGGGGAGAGUGUUUGCACUUUGUUGUGUGGCACAUGAUCCAGAACUUUUACUUUGAGGAAAUGAGAGUGUUUCAAGCAGGCUCCUGUCGUGAAUAAGUUAGCGUGGAAUAAGAGCAUGGGACCGCAAUUUGAAGCUGUUGGUUUUUGGGCCGUGGUAAUAAAAAUAGGGAUAGUUGGGGGUAUUCGUAUUUAACUGUCAGAGGUGAAAUUCUUGGAUUUUUUAAAGACGGACCACUGCGAAAGCAUCUGCCCAGGAUGUUUUUAUUGAUCAAGAACGAAAGUUAGGGGGUCGAAGACGAUCAGAUACCGUCCUAGUCUUAACCAUAAACCAUGCCGACUAGAGAUUUGGGUCGUCAGAAUCGUGACGCCCUGAGCACCUUAGGGGAAACCAAAGUCUUCGGGUUCCGGGGGGAGUAUGGUCGCAAGGCUGAAACUUAAAGGAAUUGACGGAAGGGCACCACCAGGAGUGGAGCCUGCGGCUCAAUUUGACUCAACACGGGGAAACUUACCAGGUCCGGACAU